This 401-nucleotide long non-coding RNA is filed under the name Cricetulus griseus (Chinese hamster). RNAcentral's name for it is "lncRNA (ENSCGRG00015033753.1)". Lineage: Eukaryota; Metazoa; Chordata; Mammalia; Rodentia; Cricetidae. The record is from RNAcentral.
CUCUCCCCUCCUCUUUCCCCACCUGCCCACAAACAGGAACUGACAUUCUCUUGUAGGUUGGGGGAAGAAACGUUCAGAGGACUUUCUUCAUGCCCUGUCGCUGAUUCCCCACUGUGGGAGCAGGUGGGACACUGGGAUGCUGGGAAAGGAAUGGAACCUGCAUCGCUCAGCCUGUCCCUCGUGCUGUAUGCAUGGACCUGACCUGUCUAGGCUUCUGCAUCCUCCAGGCCUCAGCUCCAGGCUGACCCAGCUCCUGCCCAGGGAGAACUUCAAUAGUCCAGCUGCUCGGCUGAGUGGGGUUUCACUGUGUAACCUUGGCUGUCCUGGAACUCACUCUAUAGACCAGGCUGGCACUCACAGGGAUCCACCUGCCUCUGCUGGGAUUAAAAACAAACGCCACU